AAAGAUGUCGUGUAUAUCUGUCCAUUUAUGGGAGCCAUCAGUGGGACGCUGACAGUGACAGACUUCAAAAUGUAUUUCAAGAACGUUGAAAGGGAUCCACAUUUUACUCUUGACGUUCCUCUUGGAGUGAUAAAUCGGAUUGAAAAGAUUGGAGUGCAGAGCCACGGAGACACCUCCUGCGGGAUUGAAAUUGUUUGCAAGGUAUUGGCUUAAAUAUGAAGGUGGUGAUUUGGAAUA
This is a non-coding RNA of Anolis sagrei ordinatus, 237 nucleotides long. NCBI's taxonomy places the organism in Eukaryota, Metazoa, Chordata, Lepidosauria, Squamata, Anolidae. The record is from RefSeq and is a predicted model, not a curated record.